CAGUUGGGGGGUGUCAGAUGUUAGUUUGGGGGGUAUUGGGGUGCAGAGAUGGCGCAGGACAAGGGGCGACCCUGGGAGCCCCCCGAUAUUUGGUCGGACAUGGAGGACAAGCUGUGGAUCCUACAGGACAUGAAUAUGAUGUACAUCAGACAGAUCGCCCUCAGCCUACAGGACACGGACAUCCAGAAGCGGAUUGACCACGAGGUGCGGAUCCGGGACGGGGCGAUGAAGCUGCUGGGGGCCUGCACACAGAAGGAACAGGCGCUGGAAGCCGCCAAGAGUCUCCUGGUGUGUAAUAGUCGUAUAAUGACCUACAUGUCCGAGCUGCAGCACCGCAAGGAGGAGCAAGUCCUGCAGCACAGCGCGCGCAGGCCCUCAGACGGAGGAUCGGUGGAUGACCGGCUCCCCUGUAAGGGGAAACUCUCCAUCUCAGAUCUCCGGAUUCCCCUCAUGUGGAAGGACAGCGAAUACUUCAAGAAUAAAGGAGAGCUCCAUCGCUGUGCCGUGUUCUGUGCUCUGCAGAUCCGAGGGGAGGUCUGUGACACGGAAAUGGUCUUUGUGGAUCGGACAGCCACAGAUAUCUGCUUCGAGAACCCCAUUGUCUUCUCGGACGUGGAGCCAGGUUUUGAACUCAGUCUCCAGCUGUACAGCUGUGCCGUGGAUGAGGACUUUUCUCUGUCUGGGACCCCCAGAAGACUGUCCACCAAACUGAGCAACUCCCUGGGCCGUUCAUCGGGACGGAGGGUACGAGCUUCCAUGGAAGGAGCAUGCAGCAAUGGAGGAGGAAGCCCCGUCCUUCUACCUGUCCCCAGUGUCCCGGGUCCAAAGUUCCUGCUGCUGGCCCACACCAAACUAACCCUGGCUGAUGUCCAGGACGGCUUCCGCACUCACGACCUCACUAUGAACAGUUCAGAUGAGAGCUCCUGUUGGCUGCCGCUGUACGGAAGUGUGUGCUGCCGCCUUACAGCACAGCCUGACUGUAUGAACCAAGAUAUGAUAUCCGGGUAUCUGCAGAUCCAGGCGCGGGGGCAGGCGGGAUGGCAGCGGAUGUACUGCGUGCUGCGAGGAUGCCGCUUGCUGUGCUAUACGCAGCCCUGUGAGAAAGGGUCGGCCUCCCCGGAACCGGAACUCACCGUCUUCGUCAAUAAGGAGACCAGAAUCCGCUGCUCAGACCGCGAAGGACAGAACCAGGCGCAAAGCCUGUCCAUCACCAACCGGUACGGCAGCGAGGAGGUGACGCACCACGCCAGGGCGGAGGGCCGGGAGGAGCUGCGCCGAUGGAUGGAGGCCUUCUGGCAGCACUUCUAUGACAUGAGUCAGUGGAAGCAGUGCUGUGAUGACCUCAUGAAGAUCGAGACAACCCCGCCCAAGAGGACCACCCUCGCUAUGGCCAAGCAGGGCUCCCUCUACCAUGAAAUGGCUAUUGAGGGUCUGGGCCGAUUCCCGACCUCCUCUCCCAGCGGAUGAAGGAGUUUGAGAUACAGAGGGGUCUGGAUCCGCCUCCCUGGACGUCUUUCUUCAACAGCCCCAACCCUGAACGUCCUUCCCGCUCCUCGUCCUCCGAUUGUGACAGUCCUCCAGGUCAGACUUCCAGGCUUCGUCCCCGCACCCUCCCUGGAUGCCAAACUGACGUCCCUUAAGAACCGGGGGCUGAGGAUGGCCGACCAACAGUCUACGGGCCAAGAGUCCUCCGGAGGAGAUGACAGUCCUCACCCGGAGGCCAGGAACUCGAGCAGCAGCGGGCGCAGCACCCGGACUCAGAGAAGGGGGGACAAAACCGCAAGAACAUUAGGAGCCUUAGAACCAAACUGGACCCCCGAAACUGGCUGCAGAGUCAGGUGUGACCCCGUCUGAUCACAUGACCAGAGUGUCGGAUGGGGGUGAGAGACCAGAACCAAGAGUCCAAAGGGCACCCAUGUGUCAGGCCUUGGCUCUGGUUGGUAUGUACUGUGGACGCCCCAUUCCCAAACAUGGAGUGACGCCCUACUUAUUAUUCACAUACAAAAAUAACAUACCGCAUCCUCCAAGUAACACUGACACACCCAGCGCGCUCCACCCACCUCAGGGUAACCUACAGUUUGUUCAAAGACUGAACAGCAAGAUGUGGACGAGUCUUCCUUCACAUGGGAGAGCGGAACCCGAGAUAUUAUAUACAUUUAUACCGAGUCCCUCCCAAUCCACUGAAGGGCGAUGAAAAACAAGCUAUAUUAUUAUUAUUAUUAUUAUUAUUAUUGUGCCACCCACUGCUGGGCACCAAUGACACCCAGACUUGAAGCCCCUCCCUCAGAAAGGUGUCAUGGCUGCACAGAGUUUACAUGACCUUUCAGCACCGCCUACUGCAGGGAAUUUGCCCCUCCUACUGCAGGGUGACUGAUGGGAGCUGUGAGACCAGGAAUAUGCCCCUCCUACUGCAGGGUGACUGAUGGGAGCUGUGAGACCGGGAAUAUGCCCCUCCUACUGCAGGGUGACUGAUGGGAGCUGUGAGACUGGGAAUAUGCCCCUCUACUGCAGGGUGACUGAUGGGAGCUGUGAGACCGGGAAUAUGCCCCUCCUACUGCAGGAUGACUGAUGGGAGCUGUGAGACCGGGAAUAUGCCCCUCCUACUGCAGGGUGACUGAUGGGAGCUGUGAGACCCGGAAUAUGCCCCUCCUACUGCAGGGUGACUGAUGGGAGCUGUGAGACCGGGAAUAUGCCCCUCCUACUGCAGGGUGACUAUAGGAUAUGGGGUCUGCAGGGUGAUAAUAGGAUAAGGGGUCUACUCCUCUGCCUGCAAGGUGACUAUAUAAUAUGGGGUCUGCUCCUCCUCCUGCAGGGUGACUAUAGGAUAUGCAGUCUGUCCCUCCCUCUACAGGGUGAUUGGGGUAUGCCCCUCCCCCUGCAGGGUGACUAUAGGGUAUGAGGUUUACCCCUCCCACUGCAGGGUGACUAUAGGGUAUGAGGUCUGUCCCUCCCUCUGCAGGGUGAUAAUAGGAUAAGGGGUCUACUCCUCUGCCUGCAAGGUGACUAUAUAAUAUGGGGUCUGCUCCUCCUCCUGCAGGGUGACUAUAGGAUAUGCAGUCUGUCCCUCCCUCUACAGGGUGACUGGGGUAUUCCCCUCUCCCUGCGGGGUGACUAUAGGGUAUGAGGUCUGUCCCUCCCUCUGCAGGGUGACUAUAGGGUAUGAGGUAUGUCCCUCCCUUCUGCAGGGUGACUAUAGGGUAUGAGGUCUGUCCCUCCCUCUGCAGGGUGACUAUAGGGUAUGAGGUCUGCCCCUCCCCCUGCAGGGUGACUAUAGGGUAUGAGGUCUGCCCCUCCCACUGCAGGGCGAGUAUAGGGUAUGAGAUCUGUCCCUUCCCCUGCAGGGUGACUAUAGAAUAUUGGAUCUGCCCUCCCCCUGAAGGGUGAUACGGACCAUUGGAUAUGGGGGACUGUUCUUCCGCUGCAGGGUGACUAUAGGGUAUGAGGUCUGCCCCUCCCUCUGCAGGUGACGGAUGUUGGGGGCGCACACACAGCCUUGGGGGGGGGACACAAUCUAUUGGCUCCCGGCAGUGAGAGAAUUAAAGCUUUAUGAUUAUAAACGGCCUUACCAAAUAAUUACUAACAGAGUAUUAUAUUAUAAUAAAUCUUUAUUGCCAA
This is an RNA transcript of Rana temporaria (common frog), 3615 nucleotides long. It is a transcript of the gene named rhotekin, with no coding region annotated. The transcript is spliced from 13 exons. The record is from RefSeq and is a predicted model, not a curated record. Lineage: Eukaryota; Metazoa; Chordata; Amphibia; Anura; Ranidae.